GAUGAACGCUGGCGGCGUGCCUAAUACAUGCAAGUCGAGCGAACGGACGAGAAGCUUGCUUCUCUGAUGUUAGCGGCGGACGGGUGAGUAACACGUGGAUAACCUACCUAUAAGACUGGGAUAACUUCGGGAAACCGGAGCUAAUACCGGAUAAUAUGUUGAACCGCAUGGUUCAAAAGUGAAAGACGGUCUUGCUGUCACUUAUAGAUGGAUCCGCGCUGCAUUAGCUAGUUGGUAAGGUAACGGCUUACCAAGGCAACGAUGCAUAGCCGACCUGAGAGGGUGAUCGGCCACACUGGAACUGAGACACGGUCCAGACUCCUACGGGAGGCAGCAGUAGGGAAUCUUCCGCAAUGGGCGAAAGCCUGACGGAGCAACGCCGCGUGAGUGAUGAAGGUCUUCGGAUCGUAAAACUCUGUUAUUAGGGAAGAACAUAUGUGUAAGUAACUGUGCACAUCUUGACAGUACCUAAUCAGAAAGCCACGGCUAACUACGUG
Molecule: ribosomal RNA, 497 nt
Filed under: uncultured bacterium
Lineage: Bacteria
Description: partial 16S ribosomal RNA
Rfam family: Bacterial small subunit ribosomal RNA
Source: RNAcentral